UGGGGAAUACUGCACAAUGGGCGAAAGCCUGAUGCAGCAACGCCGCGUGAGUGAUGAAGGCCUUCGGGUUGUAAAGCUCUGUCUUUUGGGACGAUAAUGACGGUACCAAAGGAGGAAGCCACGGCUAACUACGUGCCAGCAGCCGCGGUAAUACGUAGGUGGCAAGCGUUGUCCGGAUUUACUGGGCGUAAAGGAUGCGUAGGCGGAUUUUUAAGUGAGAUGUGAAAUACCCGGGCUUAACUUGGGUGCUGCAUUUCAAACUGGGAAUCUAGAGUGCGGGAGAGGAGAAUGGAAUUCCUAGUGUAGCGGUGAAAUGCGUAGAGAUUAGGAAGAACACCAGUGGCGAAGGCGAUUCUCUGGACCGUAACUGACGCUGAGGCAUGAAAGCGUGGGUAGCAAACAGGAUUAGAUACCCUGGUAGUCCACGCCGUAAACGAUGAGUACUAGGUGUAGGAGGUAUCGACCCCUUCUGUGCCGCAGUUAACACAAUAAGUACUCCGCCUGGGAAGUACGAUCGCAAGAUU
This 524-nucleotide ribosomal RNA is filed under the name uncultured bacterium. Its description in RNAcentral is "partial 16S ribosomal RNA". It matches the Rfam family "Bacterial small subunit ribosomal RNA", at positions 355 to 895 of the family's 1533-position model. The record is from RNAcentral.